This 301-nucleotide ribosomal RNA is filed under the name uncultured bacterium. Its description in RNAcentral is "partial 16S ribosomal RNA". It matches the Rfam family "Bacterial small subunit ribosomal RNA", at positions 509 to 809 of the family's 1533-position model. The record is from RNAcentral.
CAGUAGCCGCGGGAAAACAGAGGGUGCGAGCGUUAAUCGGAUUUACUGGGCGUAAAGCGUGCGUAGGCGGCUUCUUAAGUCGGAUGUGAAAUCCCUGAGCUUAACUUAGGAAUUGCAUUCGAUACUGGGAAGCUAGAGUAUGGGAGAGGAUGGUAGAAUUCCAGGUGUAGCGGUGAAAUGCGUAGAGAUCUGGAGGAAUACCGAUGGCGAAGGCAGCCAUCUGGCCUAAUACUGACGCUGAGGUACGAAAGCAUGGGGAGCAAACAGGAUUAGAGACCCCUGUAGUCCCUGUCUCUUAUAA